GAGUAAUAAAAAACGAGAGAAAGGCUGCAUACCUCUUGCCAUGGAGCCGUAGCAGUACCAGAUUCACCCUACACGCAUAUGCAUAAUGCAUCAUCAAAUUAUUUUUGUUGAAAGAUUUGUCUAUUUUUUU
Molecule: small nuclear RNA, 130 nt
Organism: Salvia splendens (bonfire salvia)
Lineage: Eukaryota; Viridiplantae; Streptophyta; Magnoliopsida; Lamiales; Lamiaceae
Source: RefSeq, a predicted model, not a curated record